RNAcentral lists this ribosomal RNA (463 nucleotides) under uncultured Anoxybacillus sp. RNAcentral describes it as "bacterial SSU rRNA". It matches the Rfam family "Bacterial small subunit ribosomal RNA", at positions 920 to 1382 of the family's 1533-position model. The record is from RNAcentral. Lineage: Bacteria; Bacillati; Bacillota; Bacilli; Caryophanales; Anoxybacillaceae.
CCCGCACAAGCGGUGGAGCAUGUGGUUAAUUCGAAGCAACGCGAAGAACCUUACCAGGUCUUGACAUCCCCUGACAACCCGAGAGAUCGGGCGUUCCCCCUUCGGGGGACAGGGUGACAGGUGGUGCAUGGUUGUCGUCAGCUCGUGUCGUGAGAUGUUGGGUUAAGUCCCGCAACGAGCGCAACCCUCGACCUUAGUUGCCAGCAUUCAGUUGGGCACUCUAAGGUGACUGCCGGCUAAAAGUCGGAGGAAGGUGGGGAUGACGUCAAAUCAUCAUGCCCCUUAUGACCUGGGCUACACACGUGCUACAAUGGGCGGUACAAAGGGUCGCGAACCCGCGAGGGGGAGCCAAUCCCAAAAAGCCGCUCUCAGUUCGGAUUGCAGGCUGCAACUCGCCUGCAUGAAGCCGGAAUCGCUAGUAAUCGCGGAUCAGCAUGCCGCGGUGAAUACGUUCCCGGGCCUU